RNAcentral lists this unclassified non-coding RNA (305 nucleotides) under plant metagenome. RNAcentral describes it as "partial contains 5.8S ribosomal RNA, internal transcribed spacer 2, and large subunit ribosomal RNA". The stretch from base 1 to 105 matches the Rfam family "5.8S ribosomal RNA", at positions 50 to 154 of the family's 154-position model. The record is from RNAcentral.
GAAAUGCGAUAAGUAGUGUGAAUUGCAGAAUUCAGUGAAUCAUCGAAUCUUUGAACGCACAUUGCGCCCUUUGGUAUUCCUUAGGGCAUGCCUGUUCGAGCGUCAUCUAAACCUUCAAGCCCUGCUUGGCGUUGGGUGCCUGUCCCGCCUCCGCGCGCGGACUCACCUCAAAUCCAUUGGCGGCCCCCGCGUCGGCCACGAGCGCAGCAGAAACGCGAACUCGUGAGCCCGUCCGGGCGGCUCCCAGAAGCUACACCCACCCAGUUUGACCUCGGAUCAGGUAGGGAUACCCGCUGAACUUAAGC